GACGAACGCUGGCGGCGUGCUUAACACAUGCAAGUCGAGCGGUAAGGCCCUCGGGUACGACGAGCGGCGAACGGGUGAGUAACACGUGGGUGACCUGCCUUUAGUCUCUGGGAGUAAGCCUGGGAAACUGGGUCUAAUACCGGAUAUGACCUCAUGACGCAUGUUGUGGGGUGGAAAGCCUUGUGCGGCUAGAGAUGGGCCCGCGGCCUAUCAGCUUGUUGGUGGGGUGANGGCCUACCAAGGCGACGACGGGUAGCCGGCCUGAGAGGGCGACCGGCCACACUGGGACUGAGACACGGCCCAGACUCCUACGGGAGGCAGCAGUGGGGAAUCUUGCGCAAUGGGCGAAAGCCUGACGCAGCGACGCCGCGUGAGGGAUGACGGCCU
RNAcentral lists this ribosomal RNA (387 nucleotides) under uncultured bacterium. RNAcentral describes it as "bacterial SSU rRNA". It matches the Rfam family "Bacterial small subunit ribosomal RNA", at positions 28 to 417 of the family's 1533-position model. The record is from RNAcentral.